GACAGAGGUCCCGAGCGUUAGGCGGAAUCACUGGGCUUAAAGCGUGUGUAGGCGGAUGCCUAAGUACCUUGUGAAAUCCCACGGCUCAACCGUGGAACUGCUGGGUAUACUGCGGGUCUUGAGCGGCCUAGGGGCAGACGGAACAAGUGGUGGAGCGGUGAAAUGCGUAGAUAUCAGGAGGAACACCGGUGGCGAAGGCGGUUCUCUGGGCAUUACCUGACGCUGAGGAGCGAAAGUGUGGGGAGCGAACAGG
Molecule: ribosomal RNA, 253 nt
Filed under: uncultured bacterium
Lineage: Bacteria
Description: partial 16S ribosomal RNA
Rfam family: Bacterial small subunit ribosomal RNA
Source: RNAcentral